RNAcentral lists this non-coding RNA (282 nucleotides) under Pediculus humanus corporis (human body louse). Lineage: Eukaryota; Metazoa; Arthropoda; Insecta; Psocodea; Pediculidae. The record is from RNAcentral.
ACCGGGAGUGACGGUGUACUCCUGUAAUCCAAUUACUCGGAGGCUAGGUAAGAGGAUGUUUUAAGGGCGGGGAUUUCGGGAUUGAAUUUUCCACGUCGACUAAGCGUUCGCUAGGGGUAAAUCAUCAACUUGGAUACCUUGGUGGGCCCAAAGUAGCCAGGUUUAGUCCCGAAAAAGGGGAAAAAUCGGCCCAAAAAUCACCGAGUUAAGAGUUGUGGGUUUAAAUCUUAGGAGUGGGAGUUCAAUUUUAGCUAGUCUUAACAGGAAGAGUCUUGUACCUAA